Molecule: ribosomal RNA, 209 nt
Filed under: uncultured bacterium
Lineage: Bacteria
Description: partial 16S ribosomal RNA
Rfam family: Bacterial small subunit ribosomal RNA
Source: RNAcentral
GCCUUUCAGAGGGGGAGUAACAUUUGGAAACAGAUACUAAUACCGCAUAAGAUUACAGUACCGCAUGAUACAGUGAUCAAAGGAGCAAUCCGCUGAAAGAUGGGCUCGCGUCCGAUUAGAUAGUUGGUGAGGUAACGGCUCACCAAGUCGACGAUCGGUAGCCGGACUGAGAGGUUGAACGGCCGCAUUGGGACUGAGACACGGCCCAG